AGUGAACGCUGGCGGUAGGCCUAACACAUGCAAGUCGAACGGCAGCACAGUAAGAGCUUGCUCUUACGGGUGGCGAGUGGCGGACGGGUGAGGAAUACAUCGGAAUCUACUUUUUCGUGGGGGAUAACGUAGGGAAACUUACGCUAAUACCGCAUACGACCUACGGGUGAAAGCAGGGGAUCUUCGGACCUUGCGCGAUUGAAUGAGCCGAUGUCGAUUAGCUAGUUGGCGGGGUAAAGGCCCACCAAGGCGACGAUCCGUAGCUGGUCUGAGAGGAUGAUCAGCCACACUGGAACUGAGACACGGUCCAGACUCCUACGGGAGGCAGCAGUGGGGAAUAUUGGACAAUGGGCGCAAGCCUGAUCCAGCCAUACCGCGUGGGUGAAGAAGGCCUUCGGGUUGUAAAGCCCUUUUGUUGGGAAAGAAAAGCAGCAGGUUAAUACCCCGCUGUUCUGACGGUACCCAAAGAAUAAGCACCGGCUAACUUCGUG
RNAcentral lists this ribosomal RNA (491 nucleotides) under uncultured bacterium. RNAcentral describes it as "partial 16S ribosomal RNA". It matches the Rfam family "Bacterial small subunit ribosomal RNA", at positions 29 to 507 of the family's 1533-position model. The record is from RNAcentral.